This 500-nucleotide ribosomal RNA is filed under the name uncultured Glomeromycotina. RNAcentral describes it as "partial small subunit ribosomal RNA". It matches the Rfam family "Eukaryotic small subunit ribosomal RNA", at positions 591 to 1092 of the family's 1831-position model. Lineage: Eukaryota; Fungi; Glomeromycota. The record is from RNAcentral.
CCAAUAGCGUAUAUUAAAGUUGUUGCAGUUAAAAAGCUCGUAGUUGAAUUUCGGGGUCAGUAGAUUGGUCAUGCCACUGGUAUGUACUGGUCUCACUGAUUCCUCCUUCCUGAUGAGCCGUAAUGCCAUUAAUUUGGUGUUGCGCGGAAUCUGGACUGUUCCUUUGAAAAAAUUAGAGUGUUUAAAUCAGGCUAACGCUUGAAUACAUUAGCAUGAACUAAUGAAAUAGGACGUUCGCUCUUAUUUUGUUGGUUUCUAAGAUUGACGUAAUGAUUAAUAGGGAUAGUUGGGGGCAUUAGUAUUCAAUUGUCAGAGGUGAAAUUCUUGGAUUUAUUGAAGACUAACUACUGCGAAAGCAUUUGCCAAGGAUGUUUUCAUUAAUCAAGAACGAAAGUUAGGGGAUCGAAGACGAUCAGAUACCGUCGUAGUCUUAACCAUAAACUAUGCCGACUAGGGAUCGGAUGAUGUUAAUUUUAUAAUGACGCAUUCGGCGCCUUACG